GACGAACGCUGGCGGCGUGCUUAACACAUGCAAGUCGAACGGUAAGGCCCUUCGGGGUACACGAGUGGCGAACGGGUGAGUAACACGUGGGUGAUCUGCCCUGCACUUCGGGAUAAGCCUGGGAAACUGGGUCUAAUACCGGAUAGGACCACUGCCUGCAUGGGUGGUGGUGGAAAGCUUUUGCGGUGUGGGAUGGGCCCGCGGCCUAUCAGCUUGUUGGUGGGGUGAUGGCCUACCCAGGCGAGGAGGGGUAGCCGGGCUGAGAGGGUGACCGGCCACGCUGGGACGGAGAGACGGCCCAGACUCCUACGGGAGGGAGGAGUGGGGAAUAUUGCACAAUGGGCGGAAGCCUGAUGCAGCGACGCCGCGGGGGGGAUAACGGCCUUCGGGUUGUAAACCUCUUUCAGCACCGACGAAGCGCAAGUGACGGUAGGUGCAGAAGAAGGACCGGCCAACUACGUGCCAGCAGCCGCCGUAA
This 478-nucleotide ribosomal RNA is filed under the name uncultured bacterium. RNAcentral describes it as "partial 16S ribosomal RNA". It matches the Rfam family "Bacterial small subunit ribosomal RNA", at positions 28 to 523 of the family's 1533-position model. The record is from RNAcentral.